Molecule: ribosomal RNA, 471 nt
Filed under: Blastocystis sp. subtype 3
Lineage: Eukaryota; Bigyra; Opalinata; Blastocystidae
Description: SSU rRNA
Rfam family: Eukaryotic small subunit ribosomal RNA
Source: RNAcentral
ACCUUAUCGAUAAACAAUUGGAGGGCAAGUCUGGUGCCAGCAGCCGCGGUAAUUCCAGCUCCAAUAGCGUAUAUUAACGUUGUUGCAGUUAAAAAGCUCGUAGUUGAAAUGAAGGGUAGUUGUGUAAUGAAUACAUUCGUGUAUUUUGUUAUUCAACUAUCCUCCUUCUAAAUUCGAUAUAUGAGUAUUAAUUUACUUGUAUAUGGUUUUAGACUUUUACUGUGAGAAAAUUAGAGUGUUCAAAGCAGGCAUUUGCUUGAAUAUAUUAGCAUGGAAUAAUCAUGUAUGAUUUUCAUGAUGUAUUUGAUUGGUUUGGUUCAUGAGAAUAAGAUUAAAAGGGACAGUUGGGGGUAUUCAUAUUCAAUAGUCAGAGGUGAAAUUCUCGGAUUUAUGGAAGAUGAACAAGUGCGAAAGCAUUUACCAAGGAUGUUUUCAUUAAUCAAGAACGAAAGUUAGGGGAUCGAAGAGGAU